ACACACACACACUCUUUUUGGAAAUGCAUCUAAUACAUUUUUUUGUUUUAGCAGAAGGCACCAAACCGUCCAUGUUCGUUUUUGCUGUUUUCAGGGUUCAUUUCCAUGUUUACACUUCCAGGAGAUGUUAUGAAACAUUGGGGAAAAGGUGAUGCUUUUAUUUCAUUGAAGAGCAAAAGAAAUCCAGACUUGGUCCCUUCUCUUUGUUUCAGUGCUAAUUUAUGUUUUCUUAGCAGUGUAGAGCUCAUGUGAUUGUAUAGUUAUUGAUAUCUCCUAUGAUCCCGUCCCCAUCGUUCCUCCCACUGUGCAGAUGAAGAAAGUGAAGCAGAAAUCUUGUCCAAAUUUACAUAUAAUAGUGCAAUCUCUCCAUUUUAAAGUUAUAAUGUGUGCUCCUCUACUGUGCAAUGUCAAGAACAUGAACUUCAGAAGAAUGCUGCCAGGCUUAUAUAAUUAUGUACCUUUACAAAUGUGGUGUCAAAGUUUCUGAGCAGGACUUAAAAGGCAACACUUCUAUGAUAUUCUGGAAAAGAAAUUCCUGAAGACCAUAAUUCUUGCACAGCCCCCAGGGGAAGGAUGUCUGGCACCAGCAGAAGGACAAAGGACAAGGCCAUAAAACUAUGGUCCUGAUACGUGUGACAAGCGGAAGCCCCAUCUGUAGCUCUCUCUGGGCACAUAAAAAACCUGCUCCCUCCCCAUUCACCACUGAUUUCUUUUUCGGAAUCAGUCCACCUGCACCCAGGUGCCUUGAAUAAAUAUAUUGAUUACA
This is a long non-coding RNA of Eptesicus fuscus (big brown bat), 766 nucleotides long. RefSeq lists it as uncharacterized. The record is from RefSeq and is a predicted model, not a curated record. The transcript is spliced from 2 exons. NCBI's taxonomy places the organism in Eukaryota, Metazoa, Chordata, Mammalia, Chiroptera, Vespertilionidae.